This 1458-nucleotide ribosomal RNA is filed under the name uncultured prokaryote. RNAcentral's name for it is "partial 16S ribosomal RNA". It matches the Rfam family "Bacterial small subunit ribosomal RNA". The record is from RNAcentral.
GAGUUUGAUCCUGGCUCAGGAUGAACGCUAGCGGCAGGCUUAACACAUGCAAGUCGAACGGUAACAGGGAAAGCUUGCUUUUUGCUGACGAGUGGCGAACGGGUGCGUAACACGUAUGCAACCUACCUUUAACUGAGGGAUAGCCCAAAGAAAUCGGAAUUAAUACCCCAUAAUACUUUGAGAUCGCAUGUUUUGAUAUUUAAAGUUUGGUGGUUACAGAUAGACAUGCGUGAUAUUAGUUUGUUGGUGAGGUAAUGGCUCACCAAGACUACGAUAUCUAGGGGGUCUGAGAGGAUGAUCCCCCACACUGGUACUGAGACACGGACCAGACUCCUACGGGAGGCAGCAGUGAGGAAUAUUGGGCAAUGGACGAAAGUCUGACCCAGCCAUACCGCGUGCAGAUUGAAGGUCCUCGAGAUUGUAAACUACUUUUAUUUGGGAAGAAACCUUUUUACGUGUAAAAAGCUGACGGUACCAAACGAAUAAGCACCGGCUAACUCCGUGCCAGCAGCCGCGGUAAUACGGAGGGUGCAAGCGUUAUCCGGAUUUAUUGGGUUUAAAGGGUCCGUAGGCGGAAAAUUAAGUCAGUGGGGAAAGCCUGCAGCUCAACUGCAGAAUUGCCAUUGAAACUGAAUUUCUUGAAUCUGAUUGAAGUAGGCGGAACAUGACAUGUAGCGGUGAAAUGCUUAGAUAUGUCAUAGAACACCGAUAGCGAAGGCAGCUUACUAAGUCAGUAUUGACACUGAGGCACGAAAGCGUGGGGAGCGAACAGGAUUAGAUACCCUGGUAGUCCACGCUGUAAACGAUGAUUACUCGCUAUUGGCGAUACACUGUCAGUGGCUUAGCGAAAGUGAUAAGUAAUCCACCUGGGGAGUACGAUCGCAAGGUUGAAACUCAAAGGAAUUGACGGGGGCGGCUUAAAUGCAGAUUGACAGAUUGGGAAACCGAUUUUUCUUCGGACAAUUUGCAAGGUGCUGCAUGGUUGUCGUCAGCUCGUGCCGUGAGGUGUCGGGUUAAGUCCCAUAACGAGCGCAACCCCUAUUCUUAGUUGCCAGCGGUUCGGCCGGGGACUCUAAGGAAACUGCCAGCGCAAGCUGUGAGGAAGGUGGGGAUGACGUCAAAUCAUCACGGCCCUUACGUCCUGGGCUACACACGUGCUACAAUGGUAGGUACAAAGGGCAGCCACUUGGUGACAAGGAGCUAAUCUCUAAAACCUAUCUCAGUUCGGAUUGGAGUCUGAAACUCGACUCUAUGAAGCUGGAAUCGCUAGUAAUCGCGCAUCAGCCAUGGCGCGGUGAAUACGUUCCCGGGCCUUGUACACACCGCCCGUCAAACAAUGGAAGCUGGGAGUACCUGAAGUCGGUAACCAUAUAGGAGCUGCCUAGGGUAAAACUAGUGACUGGGGCUAAGUCGUAACAAGGUAGCCGUACCGGAAGGUGUGGCUGAAUCACCUCCUUU